AGCUCACUAGUCGAGUCGGCCUGCGCGGAAGAUGUAACGGGGCUAAAACUAUGUGCCGAAGCUGCGGAUGUAUACUUUGUAUACGUGGUAGGGGAGCGUUCUGUAAGCCGAUGAAGGUGUGUUGAGAAGCAUGCUGGAGGUAUCAGAAGUGCGAAUGCUGACGUGAGUAACGACAAAACGGGUGAAAAACCCGUUCGCCGAAAGACCAAGGGUUCCAGUCCAACGUUAAUCGGGGCUGGGUGAGUCGACCCCUAAGGCGAGGCCGAAAGGCGUAGUCGAUGGGAAAAUGGUUAAUAUUCCAUUACUUCUGUGUAAUGCGAUGAGAGGACGGAGAAGGCUAAAUCAGCCUGGCGUUGGUUGUCCAGGUGAAAGGAUGUAGGCAUGUAUCUUAGGCAAAUCCGGGGUACUCUAUGCUGAGAUCUGAUAGCAAGCUGUACUUGUACAGCGAAGUGGUUGAUGCCAUGCUUCCAGGAAAAGUCUCUAAGCUUCAGUUACACAGGAAUCGUACCCGAAACCGACACAGGUGGUCAGGUCGAGUAGACCAAGGCGCUUGAGAGAACUCUGCUGAAGGAACUAGGCAAAAUGGUACCGUAACUUCGGGAGAAGGUACGCUGUUGUUGGUGAUGGAACUCGCUUCCUGAGCUGACGACAGCCGCAGAAACCAGGCCGCUGCAACUGUUUAUUAAAAACAUAGCACUCUGCAAACACGAAAGUGGACGUAUAGGGUGUGAUGCCUGCCCGGUGCUGGAAGGUUAAUUGAUGGGGUUAGCGUAAGCGAAGCUCUUGAUCGAAGCCCCAGUAAACGGCGGCCGUAACUAUAACGGUCCUAAGGUAGCGAAAUUCCUUGUCGGGUAAGUUCCGACCUGCACGAAUGGCAUAAUGAUGGCGGCGCUGUCUCCAGCAGAGGCUCAGUGAAAUCGAAAUCGCUGUGAAGAUGCAGUGUACCCGCGGCUAGACGGAAAGACCCCGUGAACCUUUACUGCAGCUUGACACUGAACUUUGACCUUACUUGUGUAGGAUAGGUGGGAGGCUUUGAAGCUGGAACGCUAGUUCCAGUGGAGCCGUCCUUGAAAUACCACCCUGGUAAUGUUGAGGUUCUAACUCUGUCCCGUGAUCCGGGACGAGGACCGUGUCUGGUGGGUAGUUUGACUGGGGCGGUCUCCUCCUAAAGAGUAACGGAGGAGUACGAAGGUGCGCUCAGCGUGGUCGGAAAUCACGCGUAGAGUAUAAAGGCAAAAGCGCGCUUAACUGCGAGACCCACAAGUCGAGCAGGUACGAAAGUAGGUCUUAGUGAUCCGGUGGUUCUGUAUGGAAGGGCCAUCGCUCAACGGAUAAAAGGUACUCUGGGGAUAACAGGCUGAUACCGCCCAAGAGUUCAUAUCGACGGCGGUGUUUGGCACCUCGAUGUCGGCUCAUCUCAUCCUGGGGCUGAAGCAGGUCCCAAGGGUAUGGCUGUUCGCCAUUUAAAGAGGUACGCGAGCUGGGUUUAGAACGUCGUGAGACAGUUCGGUCCCUAUCUACCGUGGGCGCUGGAAAUUUGAGAGGAUCUGCUCCUAGUACGAGAGGACCAGAGUGGACGAACCUCUGGUGUACCGGUUGUGACGCCAGUCGCAUCGCCGGGUAGCUAUGUUCGGAAGGGAUAACCGCUGAAAGCAUCUAAGCGGGAAGCCUACCUCAAGAUAAGAUUUCCCUAGGACUUUAUGUCCUCUAAAGAGCCGUUCGAGACUAGGACGUUGAUAGGUUGGAUGUGGAAGCAUAGUGAUAUGUGAAGCUGACCAAUACUAAUUGCUCGUGAGGCUUGACUAU
This 1806-nucleotide ribosomal RNA is filed under the name Acinetobacter baumannii. Its description in RNAcentral is "bacterial LSU rRNA". It matches the Rfam family "Bacterial large subunit ribosomal RNA", at positions 1139 to 2925 of the family's 2925-position model. The record is from RNAcentral. Lineage: Bacteria; Pseudomonadati; Pseudomonadota; Gammaproteobacteria; Moraxellales; Moraxellaceae.